This 493-nucleotide long non-coding RNA is filed under the name Rhinopithecus bieti (black snub-nosed monkey). Its description in RNAcentral is "lncRNA (ENSRBIG00000045119.1)". The record is from RNAcentral. Lineage: Eukaryota; Metazoa; Chordata; Mammalia; Primates; Cercopithecidae.
AUCAUCUUCCAGUCGGAGUACAUAGAACAGCUGAGGUGGCGUUCAGUUUCAGCACAGUGCCAUUAUGAUGGAUGUUUACAUCUCUUCAUUGAGAGCCAAUUAUCUCGCUUUUGUGUGAGGCCCAAGGAUCACUCAUGCUGCCAGGCUGCACAGAGCACUGUUGGAUCUAGCUGAACGAAUUGUUUUCUCUGUCUCUGCUGCAAAGAGAGAACAAAGUCAUGUAGGAGAAAAACAAACAAACAACAGACAACAACAACAACAACAACUCCUGUAUGGAUCAGCUUCUCUGGAAGACGGGUACUAACAGCAAAGGAAAUGGUUGGAACUUGAAAAGCACUGGCAGAGACAACCAACUUAAGAAGACAAUGUUGAGAUUGGAAAUAGCUGUAAGCUAUUACCACAGAUGGGUGAGGUGAGGAUAGAUGGAACAAAACAUGGUGUCUAACUCUGAACCCUGUUAAAAGUAUUGGAGUCUAUUAACUAUGCAUCAACC